CUUCAGUGAUGAUACGAUGACGAGUCGGAAAAUGACCCUUCUGUCUGAGGAUUCUGGGUCAGAUCCACGUUCUGUGUGUCUGGCUGCAGGUCCUCAAGGCAGAGAGUCCUUUUUGCUUGAAGACAUAGAGGCAUUUGUCUGAGAGGG
This is a small nucleolar RNA of Triplophysa rosa, 147 nucleotides long. The record is from RefSeq and is a predicted model, not a curated record. NCBI's taxonomy places the organism in Eukaryota, Metazoa, Chordata, Actinopteri, Cypriniformes, Nemacheilidae.